RNAcentral lists this unclassified non-coding RNA (271 nucleotides) under Peniophora albobadia. Its description in RNAcentral is "partial internal transcribed spacer region". The stretch from base 1 to 46 matches the Rfam family "Eukaryotic small subunit ribosomal RNA", at positions 1786 to 1831 of the family's 1831-position model. The record is from RNAcentral. Lineage: Eukaryota; Fungi; Basidiomycota; Agaricomycetes; Russulales; Peniophoraceae.
AAGUCGUAACAAGGUUUCCGUAGGUGAACCUGCGGAAGGAUCAUUAGCGAAGUUCGGAAUGCAUGUUCGAUGUUGAUGCUGCCCAGCAAUGGGAUGUGCUCGCUCGGAUGUGUGUCCCUUCUCUAUCCACCCCAUUGUGAACCAAGUGUGUGAGCCGAAGAGAAAUCGGAAGCUCGCAUGCAAACCUUUAACAUACCCCAAUAAAGUAUCAGAAUGUACCUUGCGUUAACUCGCACAAAUAUAACUUUCAACAACGGAUCUCUUGGCUCUC